GGCCCUGACUAGCUGAACCGGUAGAGCAUGGCAUCAACGUUGCUGGGGUCAGGGGUUCGAUUCCCACUGGGACCA
This is a non-coding RNA of Merluccius polli (Benguela hake), 75 nucleotides long. NCBI's taxonomy places the organism in Eukaryota, Metazoa, Chordata, Actinopteri, Gadiformes, Merlucciidae. The record is from the annotation of a GenBank genome assembly.